CCUACGGGUGGCAGCAGUGGGGAAUAUUGCACAAUGGGGGAAACCCUGAUGCAGCGACGCCGCGUGAGUGAAGAAGUACUUCGGUAUGUAAAGCUCUAUUAGCAGGGAAGAAAAUGACUGCACUUGACUAAGAAGCGCCGGCUAACUACGUGCCAGCAGCCGCGGUAAUACGUAGGGGGCAAGCGUUAUCCGGAUUUACUGGGUGUAAGGGGAGCGUAGACGGUUAGACAAGUCGGAAGUGAAAGCCCAGGGCUAAACUCUGGGACUGCUUUUGAAACUGCCGGGCUGGAGUGCAGGAGAGGUAAGCGGAAUGCGUGGUGUAGCGGUGAAAUGCGUAGAUAUUAGGAAGAACACCAGUGGCGAAGGCGGCUUACUGGACUGUAACUGACGUUGAGGCACGAAAGCGUGGGGAGCAAACAGGAUUAGAUACCCGAGUAGUC
RNAcentral lists this ribosomal RNA (440 nucleotides) under uncultured bacterium. Its description in RNAcentral is "partial 16S ribosomal RNA". It matches the Rfam family "Bacterial small subunit ribosomal RNA", at positions 338 to 795 of the family's 1533-position model. The record is from RNAcentral.